GGCUCAGGACGAACGCUGGCGGCGCGCCUAACACAUGCAAGUCGAACGAGAGAUGAGGAGCUUGCUCUUCAAAUCGAGUGGCGAACGGGUGAGUAACGCGUGAGGAACCUGCCUCAAAGAGGGGGACAACAGUUGGAAACGACUGCUAAUACCGCAUAAGCCCACGGCUCGGCAUCGAGCAGAGGGAAAAGGAGCAAUCCGCUUUGAGAUGGCCUCGCGUCCGAUUAGCUAGUUGGUGAGGUAAUGGCCCACCAAGGCGACGAUCGGUAGCCGGACUGAGAGGUUGAACGGCCACAUUGGGACUGAGACACGGCCCAGACUCCUACGGGAGGCAGCAGUGGGGAAUAUUGCACAAUGGGGGAAACCCUGAUGCAGCGACGCCGCGUGGAGGAAGAAGGUCUUCGGAUUGUAAACUCCUGUUGUUGAGGAAGAUAAUGACGGUACUCAACAAGGAAGUGACGGCUAACUACGUGCCAGCAGCCGCGGUAAAACGUAGGUCACAAGCGUUGUCCGGAAUUACUGGGUGUAAAGGGAGCGCAGGCGGGAGAACAAGUUGGAAGUGAAAUCCAUGGGCUCAACCCAUGAACUGCUUUCAAAACUGUUUUUCUUGAGUAGUGCAGAGGUAGGCGGAAUUCCCGGUGUAGCGGUGGAAUGCGUAGAUAUCGGGAGGAACACCAGUGGCGAAGGCGGCCUACUGGGCACCAACUGACGCUGAGGCUCGAAAGUGUGGGUAGCAAACAGGAUUAGAUACCCUGGUAGUCCACACCGUAAACGAUGAAACUGGGUGUUGGAGGAUUGACCCCUUCAGUGCCGCAGUAACACAAUAAGU
Molecule: ribosomal RNA, 829 nt
Filed under: uncultured bacterium
Lineage: Bacteria
Description: bacterial SSU rRNA
Rfam family: Bacterial small subunit ribosomal RNA
Source: RNAcentral